CCUACGGGAGGCAGCAGUGAGGAAUAUUGGUCAAUGGACGAGAGUCUGAACCAGCCAAGUAGCGUGAAGGAUGACUGCCCUAUGGGUUGUAAACUUCUUUUAUAAAGGAAUAAAACGAGGCCCGUGUGCCUUUUUGCAUGUACUUUAUGAAUAAGGAUAGGCUAACUCCGUGCCAGCAGCCGCGGUAAUACGGAGGAUACGCGCGUUAUCCGGAUUUAUUGGGUUUAAAGGGAGCGUAGAUGGGUUGUUAAGUCAGUUGUGAAAGUUUGCGGCUCAACCGUAAAAUUGCAAUUGAUACUGGCAGUCUUGAGUACAGUUGAGGUAGGCGGAAUUCGUGGUGU
RNAcentral lists this ribosomal RNA (341 nucleotides) under uncultured bacterium. RNAcentral describes it as "partial 16S ribosomal RNA". It matches the Rfam family "Bacterial small subunit ribosomal RNA", at positions 338 to 676 of the family's 1533-position model. The record is from RNAcentral.